This 484-nucleotide ribosomal RNA is filed under the name uncultured bacterium. Its description in RNAcentral is "partial 16S ribosomal RNA". It matches the Rfam family "Bacterial small subunit ribosomal RNA", at positions 36 to 507 of the family's 1533-position model. The record is from RNAcentral.
CUUUCCCUCUUUCGUCAGGCCUAACACAUGCAAGUCGAGCGGAUGAAGGGAGCUUGCUCCUGGAUUCAGCGGCGGACGGGUGAGUAAUGCCUAGGAAUCUGCCUGGUAGUGGGGGAUAACGUCCGGAAACGGGCGCUAAUACCGCAUACGUCCUGAGGGAGAAAGUGGGGGAUCUUCGGACCUCACGCUAUCAGAUGAGCCUAGGUCGGAUUAGCUAGUUGGUGGGGUAAAGGCCUACCAAGGCGACGAUCCGUAACUGGUCUGAGAGGAUGAUCAGUCACACUGGAACUGAGACACGGUCCAGACUCCUACGGGAGGCAGCAGUGGGGAAUAUUGGACAAUGGGCGAAAGCCUGAUCCAGCCAUGCCGCGUGUGUGAAGAAGGUCUUCGGAUUGUAAAGCACUUUAAGUUGGGAGGAAGGGCAGUAAGUUAAUACCUUGCUGUUUUGACGUUACCAACAGAAUAAGCACCGGCUAACUUCGUG